AUUGAACGCUGGCGGCAGGCCUAACACAUGCAAGUCGAGCGGAUGAAGGGAGCUUGCUCCUGGAUUCAGCGGCGGACGGGUGAGUAAUGCCUAGGAAUCUGCCUGGUAGUGGGGGUAACGUUCCGAAACCGGCGCCUAUUACGCCUACCUUCCGGGGGAGGAAAGGGGGGGUUCUUGGGCCCUCCGCCUUUCAAUUAGCCCUAGGUCGGAUUAGCUAGUUGGUGGGGUAAAGGCCUACCAAGGCGACGAUCCGUAACUGGUCUGAGAGGAUGAUCAGUCACACUGGAACUGAGACACGGUCCAGACUCCUACGGGAGGCAGCAGUGGGGAAUAUUGGACAAUGGGCGAAAGCCUGAUCCAGCCAUGCCGCGUGUGUGAAGAAGGUCUUCGGAUUGUAAAGCACUUUAAGUUGGGAGGAAGGGCAGUAAGUUAAUACCUUGCUGUUUUGACGUUACCAACAGAAUAAGCACCGGCUAACUUCGUG
Molecule: ribosomal RNA, 484 nt
Filed under: uncultured bacterium
Lineage: Bacteria
Description: partial 16S ribosomal RNA
Rfam family: Bacterial small subunit ribosomal RNA
Source: RNAcentral